This 497-nucleotide ribosomal RNA is filed under the name uncultured bacterium. RNAcentral describes it as "partial 16S ribosomal RNA". It matches the Rfam family "Bacterial small subunit ribosomal RNA", at positions 28 to 507 of the family's 1533-position model. The record is from RNAcentral.
GACGAACGCUGGCGGCGUGCCUAAUACAUGCCAGUCGAACGCUGAAGAGAGGAGCUUGCUCUUCUUGGAUGAGUUGCGAACGGGUGAGUAACGCGUAGGUAACCUGCCUUGUAGCGGGGGAUAACUAUUGGAAACGAUAGCUAAUACCGCAUAACAAUGGAUGACACAUGUCAUUUAUUUGAAAGGGGCAAUUGCUCCACUACAAGAUGGACCUGCGUUGUAUUAGCUAGUAGGUGAGGUAAUGGCUCACCUAGGCGACGAUACAUAGCCGACCUGAGAGGGUGGUCGGCCACACUGGGACUGAGACACGGCCCAGACUCCUACGGGAGGCAGCAGUAGGGAAUCUUCGGCAAUGGGGGCAACCCUGACCGAGCAACGCCGCGUGAGUGAAGAAGGUUUUCGGAUCGUAAAGCUCUGUUGUAAGUCAAGAACGGGGGUGAGAGUGGAAAGUUCACACUGUGACGGUAGCUUACCAGAAAGGGACGGCUAACUACGUG